UAUAGAAUGUGUAUGAUGAAACACGUGAAGUCAACAUUCCAGUAUCAGGGUCUACCGACUUCACUUGAACGCAUCACGAGGUUACCUGAACCUGAAGGUGUCUCCUCCUCCUCUCCAAGCCGCACCCCUUCACUCUCAGGCGGAUUCAUCCAGGAAGAAACCCCGGAGGAACCACCGGCUUCUGUCCGAUUUACAGAGCAUUUUGGGGGUUUACACACCGUCGCUUCCGCUGGUUUUGUCGCAGCUAAAGUCAACAUGCUCAUCAAAGAGUUCCGAAUUGUCCUGCCUGUUUCCGUGGAGGAGUACCAGGUGGGUCAGCUGUACGCAGUAGCAGAGGCCAGUAAGAAUGAGACUGGAGGGGGAGAAGGAGUCGAGGUUAUAGCCAACAAGCCGUAUGAGAAGGAUGGGGAGAAGGGACAGUACACCCACAAGAUCUACCACCUGAACAGUAAAGCGAAAGUGCCGGAUCUCAUCAGGAAGCUCGCUCCCAAAGGCUCUCUGGGGGUUCACGAGAAGGCGUGGAACGCAUAUCCUUACUGUAAAACAGUCCUAUCUAACGAAUACAUGAAAGACAAUUUCAGCAUCACCAUCGAGACGUGGCACAAGCCUGAUAUGGGAGACCAGGAAAAUGUUCACGGCCUGGAGAAAAGCAAAUGGGAUGAAGUGCAGAUAGUCGACAUCGACAUCGCUGACAAAAAUAGCAUCCAUCCAAAGGAUUACAACCCAGAACACGAUCCGGCCAUCUUCAACUCGGUGAAAACGGGCCGAGGGCCUCUGGGACCGGAGUGGAAGAAAGAGCUGGCUGAUAACCCCGACUGUCCUCACAUGUGCGCCUACAAGCUGGUCUCUGUGGAGUUCAAGUGGAUCGGCCUGCAGACGGCUAUGGAGAGAACCAUCCACAAGAUAGAGAAGCGUGUUUUCACACACUUCCACAGACAGCUGUUCUGCUGGAUCGAUAAAUGGAUCGAUCUGUCGAUAGACGACAUCCGACGCAUUGAGGACGAGACGAAGGCACAGCUGGAUGAGAUGAGGGAGAAUGAUGAAGUGAAAGGCCUGGGAAUUGAUGAGAACUGACCUGAAUCCCUCUCUUCCUCGGACUCUGCAGCGGCUUCAUGGGAAUAAACAAGAACACCUCCAAACUAAUAAAACCUGCUCUUAAUAAGAGCUUAUAUUAUGGAGCAGCAGCAGUUGUGUGUAUUUAUCGAAUAUAUUUGAGUACAGCAGCGUUUUUAAGGGAGUGUUUUACGUGUUACGGGAUUAUUUCUGAGGAUGAAACGUUCUUGUUUACGCCCAUUUAUCUAUUUUAACAUAUUAAGAAAGGUGUGGGAUGUCUCUCGUCUGAUUGCUGUUAUCUUUCUUUUUUUUAAUUGCUGUUCUUUUGGGUUUUUCUUGAAUUUUUUUUAUGCAUAAUUUCUCAGUGAUUUAUUUUUAUUUAUUCUUAAAUCUCCUGCAAAAGCUCCAGUUACUAGGAUAUUGUUUCUGAAAUAAUUCACUCAAAUAAUGCAUUUUUCAGGACAAUCUGAAAUGUUCAUUUGAUUCAUUAUUACAUGGUGGAUGGAGGCAUUGCAAUAUGAAUAAAGCUCAUGAUUUAUGUAGAAACUCAUGCAUAUGACGUGUUUACUUUGAAAAGAAACAUUACAUAUACUUUCACAGUAGUCUGGUUAUCCUCUUCCGGUUUAACUCUUUACAAAAACACCAGCUACUGUUCUGUAACUACGGUUUUGGGUUGACUUUGUGAGUGUUUGUGAUAAAGUGCAAAACAAUUAAUCUCUAAACUAAGAAGAUGGACAGUUUGAGAGUUUGACCUCUGUACGUCUUGUCCUGUGUCGAAUGAAAUAACUUGGAUUUGUAUGACUUGAGUUAUAUGAUUGUGUAGUUUAUUAAAGACAAUGUAUUUGUGCCUUGA
This is an RNA transcript of Gymnodraco acuticeps, 1906 nucleotides long. It is a transcript of the gene named phosphatidylinositol transfer protein alpha isoform-like, with no coding region annotated. The record is from RefSeq and is a predicted model, not a curated record. The transcript is spliced from 14 exons. NCBI's taxonomy places the organism in Eukaryota, Metazoa, Chordata, Actinopteri, Perciformes, Bathydraconidae.